AAGUAAGUCUAACAAGGUUUCCGUAGGUGAACCUGCGGAAGAUCAUUAUAAAUGGCUCGCGUUAGGAGCACUUAUAAUCCUACCUUUGUGAAUUUGUUGUUUGAAAUAAUUUUUUUUAAAAUUAUGAAUGUCUUCCCUGUUGAAUUAGAGUGUUUUCGGACACAAAGAUUCGCAGGGGAUAGUCAAUAAUUUUUAAAAAGACCUUUUUUAAAUUAAACUUUUUGUAUUCAUUUGUCUAAAUAUUUUAUAAUAUAAAAAACACUUUUGACAAUGAUCUCCUGGUUCUCGCAACGAUGAAGAACGCAGCAAAUGCAUAAGUAGUGUGAGUUGCAGAAUACGUGAAUCUCGAAUCUUCGACGCAUUGCACUUUUUUAGUUCUAAAAAAGUAUGUCUGUUUGAGUAUCAGUAAAAGUAUUCUCAUAAAACAUUGUUUUAUGGUUAUGAGUGUUUUACAACGAUACAAGUUGUUUCACUUUAAAUUUUUUUAAAUUUGAAUUUUUCUAAUUUUAAAUAAAAUUGGAUAAAAUUUCCCGUAAAAAGGAAUAACCUAAACAUUUUAAUUUUAAUAAUUAGAAUUCAAAUAUCAAAAAGGAAUUUAUUCAAAUAACUUGAUCUCAAAUCAGAUAAGAGUACCGCUGAACUUAAGCAUAUCAAUACGGAGGAAAAGAAACUACAAGGAUUCCUUAGUAACGGCGAGUGAAGCGGAAGAGCUCAAAUUGAAAUCUUCAGGUUUACCUUGACGAAUUGUAGUUUAAAGAGUGUUUUCUGUUGAAUUUGGUAAAAGUUCUUUGGAAUAGGACAUCAUAGAGGGUGAGAAUCCGUAUUUGACCAUUAUUUUCAGCUGUGUGAUACACUUUCAAAGAGUCGGAUUGUUUGGGAAUGCAGUCCAAAAUGGGUGGUAAAUUCAUCUAAAGCUAAAUAUUGGCGAGAGACGAUAGCGAACAAGUACCGUGAGGAAAGAUGAAAAGAACUUGAAAAGAGAGUUAACAGUACGUGAAAUGUCAAAAGGAAGCGUUUGACACAGUGUUGUUUCUCGAAAAUCAAUUAAAAGAGUUGAUUUGUGUUGUAUUGACUUACAGCUUCUGCCUCUUUCCUGCUUUUUAAUGCACUUUCGUUAACAGUCAACAUCAGUUUCUUUUGUUGUAAAAGGUCAUUGGAAGGUGGCUUCUUUUCGGAGAAAGUGUUUAUAGCCUUUGAUCUCUGCAAUCGGAGAGACUGAGGUCGCAGCGUAGAUCCUUCGGGUUAGAUACAUUGUGCUAAUUAUAACUUUCAUAGACACUUGUUGACUAUGUUUAGUCAUGUAGCUUACUCGCUUAUGCUAUUUUACCUACGCUUAGGAUGUUGAC
Molecule: unclassified non-coding RNA, 1346 nt
Filed under: uncultured Neocallimastigales
Lineage: Eukaryota; Fungi; Neocallimastigomycota; Neocallimastigomycetes; Neocallimastigales
Description: partial contains small subunit ribosomal RNA, internal transcribed spacer 1, 5.8S ribosomal RNA, internal transcribed spacer 2, and large subunit ribosomal RNA
Rfam family: Eukaryotic large subunit ribosomal RNA (bases 610-1346)
Source: RNAcentral